Non-coding RNA from Triticum aestivum (bread wheat), 135 nucleotides. NCBI's taxonomy places the organism in Eukaryota, Viridiplantae, Streptophyta, Magnoliopsida, Poales, Poaceae. The record is from Rfam.
CUCAUACUCCCUUCAUGCGGAAAUACUUGUCGUCAAAAUGAACAAAAGGGGAUGUAUCUAGACAUAUUUUAGUUCUAGAUACAUCAUUUUUUAUCCAUUUUGACGACAAGUAUUUUCGGACGGAGGGAGUACCAC